RNAcentral lists this ribosomal RNA (247 nucleotides) under uncultured bacterium. RNAcentral's name for it is "partial 16S ribosomal RNA". It matches the Rfam family "Bacterial small subunit ribosomal RNA", at positions 337 to 601 of the family's 1533-position model. The record is from RNAcentral.
UCCUACGGGAGGCAGCAGUAGGGAAUCUUCCACAAUGGGGGAAACCCUGAUGCAGCAACGCCGCGUGAGUGAAGAAGUAUUUCGGUAUGUAAAGCUCUAUCAGCAGGGAAGAGAAUGACGGUACCUGACUAAGAAGCCCCGGCUAACUACGUGCCAGCAGCCGCGGUAAUACGUAGGGGGCGAGCGUUAUCCGGAUUUACUGGGUGUAAAGGGAGCGUAGACGGUUCUGCAAGUCUGAAAUGAAAGC